AGUCUUCUUAAUCUAUGCCGAGAUUUCGUCAAACACCAAACCGUCAGUACCGACGAGACUCAAGAUAAGUGAAGCG
This is a non-coding RNA of Schistosoma rodhaini, 76 nucleotides long. The record is from Rfam. NCBI's taxonomy places the organism in Eukaryota, Metazoa, Platyhelminthes, Trematoda, Strigeidida, Schistosomatidae.